GUUACGUUUUGUAACAAGAUAUUAAUAAUUUAGUUCUUACUAUAUAAAAAUUACUAGUUUUUCCGAUCGUAACGGAUGUGCGGAAAAAGAGAGAUUUUCAAGAAGCCGUCAAAUUGUGUCGCAGUUAACAAUAAAGACAUUGAGUUACGCCGUUUGCUUCCUCGGAAAGUGUGUUGCAAUAGACAAAUUUCUUUUGUUUUUCUUCAAUUGCAAUUGUAAAUCGUCGCUGGGGAUCGUUGCCUGGGAUCUUUUACAGAGCUUAUACAAGCCGAGGAGAGGCUCAAACUGCUUGGCAUACGCAUAGCUUACGCAUCCAAUUGGAAUGGAAUGAUGCGGCACAAAGACAGGCAAAAACAAAACACAUGUAACAAUAUUACGUUGGGUCUUGUUGUUCGAGGUAAUAUUUCGUAUCUUUUGGAUGGCUGACAAAAAGGUGAUUUAAAUAAUUUUAUAUAAGAAACAUCACACGUGCG
RNAcentral lists this small RNA (473 nucleotides) under Drosophila virilis. RNAcentral describes it as "GJ26818". The record is from RNAcentral. Lineage: Eukaryota; Metazoa; Arthropoda; Insecta; Diptera; Drosophilidae.